UUAAGCGACUAAGCGUACACGGUGGAUGCCCUGGCAGUCAGAGGCGAUGAAGGACGUGCUAAUCUGCGAAAAGCGUCGGUAAGGUGAUAUGAACCGUUACAGCCGGCGAUGUCCGAAUGGGGAAACCCAGUGUGAUUCGUCACACUAUCGUUAACUGAAUACAUAGGUUAACGAGGCGAACCGGGGGAACUGAAACAUCUAAGUACCCCGAGGAAAAGAAAUCAACCGAGAUUCCCCCAGUAGCGGCGAGCGAACGGGGAGCAGCCCAGAGUCUGAAUCAGCUUGUGUGUUAGUGGAACGGUCUGGAAAGUCCGACGGUACAGGGUGAUAGUCCCGUACACCAAAAUGCACAGGUUGUGAACUCGAAGAGUAGGGCGGGACACGUGGUAUCCUGUCUGAAUAUGGGGGGACCAUCCUCCAAGGCUAAAUACUCCUGACUGACCGAUAGUGAACCAGUACCGUGAGGGAAAGGCGAAAAGAACCCCGGCGAGGGGAGUGAAAAAGAACCUGAAACCGUGUACGUACAAGCAGUGGGAGCACCUUCGGGUGUGACUGCGUACCUUUUGUAUAAUGGGUCAGCGACUUAUAUUCUGUAGCAAGGUUAACCGUAUAGGGGAGCCGCAGGGAAACCGAGUCUUAACUGGGCGUUAAGUUGCAGGGUAUAGACCCGAAACCCGGUGAUCUAGCCAUGGGCAGGUUGAAGGUUGGGUAACACUAACUGGAGGACCGAACCGACUAAUGUUGAAAAAUUAGCGGAUGACUUGUGGCUGGGGGUGAAAGGCCAAUCAAACCGGGAGAUAGCUGGUUCUCCCCGAAAGCUAUUUAGGUAGCGCCUCGUGAAUUCAUCUUCGGGGGUAGAGCACUGUUUCGGCUAGGGGGUCAUCCCGACUUACCAACCCGAUGCAAACUACGAAUACCGAAGAAUGUUAUCACGGGAGACACACGGCGGGUGCUAACGUCCGUCGUGAAGAGGGAAACAACCCAGACCGCCAGCUAAGGUCCCAAAGUCAUGGUUAAGUGGGAAACGAUGUGGGAAGGCACAGACAGCCAGGAUGUUGGCUUAGAAGCAGCCAUCAUUUAAAGAAAGCGUAAUAGCUCACUGGUCGAGUCGGCCUGCGCGGAAGAUGUAACGGGGCUAAACCAUGCACCGAAGCUGCGGCAGCGACACUAUGUGUUGUUGGGUAGGGGAGCGUUCUGUAAGCCUGCGAAGGUGACCUGUGAGGGUUGCUGGAGGUAUCAGAAGUGCGAAUGCUGACAUAAGUAACGAUAAAGCGGGUGAAAAGCCCGCUCGCCGGAAGACCAAGGGUUCCUGUCCAACGUUAAUCGGGGCAGGGUGAGUCGACCCCUAAGGCGAGGCCGAAAGGCGUAGUCGAUGGGAAACAGGUUAAUAUUCCUGUACUUGGUGUUACUGCGAAGGGGGGACGGAGAAGGCUAUGUUAGCCGGGCGACGGUUGUCCCGGUUUAAGCAUGUAGGCUGGUUGUCCAGGCAAAUCCGGAUAAUCAAGGCUGAGGUGUGAUGACGAGGCACUACGGUGCUGAAGUAACAAAUGCCCUGCUUCCAGGAAAAGCCUCUAAGCAUCAGGUAACAUUAAAUCGUACCCCAAACCGACACAGGUGGUCAGGUAGAGAAUACCAAGGCGCUUGAGAGAACUCGGGUGAAGGAACUAGGCAAAAUGGUGCCGUAACUUCGGGAGAAGGCACGCUGGUGUGUAGGUGAAGUCCCUGCGGAUGGAGCUGAGACCAGUCGAAGAUACCAGCUGGCUGCAACUGUUUAUUAAAAACACAGCACUGUGCAAACACGAAAGUGGACGUAUACGGUGUGACGCCUGCCCGGUGCCGGAAGGUUAAUUGAUGGGGUUAUCCGUAAGGAGAAGCUCUUGAUCGAAGCCCCGGUAAACGGCGGCCGUAACUAUAACGGUCCUAAGGUAGCGAAAUUCCUUGUCGGGUAAGUUCCGACCUGCACGAAUGGCGUAAUGAUGGCCAGGCUGUCUCCACCCGAGACUCAGUGAAAUUGAACUCGCUGUGAAGAUGCAGUGUACCCGCGGCAAGACGGAAAGACCCCGUGAACCUUUACUAUAGCUUGACACUGAACAUUGAGCCUUGAUGUGUAGGAUAGGUGGGAGGCUUUGAAGCGUGGACGCCAGUCUGCGUGGAGCCAACCUUGAAAUACCACCCUUUAAUGUUUGAUGUUCUAACGUUGGCCCCUUACCGGGGUUGCGGACAGUGUCUGGUGGGUAGUUUGACUGGGGCGGUCUCCUCCCAAAGCGUAACGGAGGAGCACGAAGGUUAGCUAAUCCUGGUCGGACAUCAGGAGGUUAGUGCAAUGGCAUAAGCUAGCUUGACUGCGAGCGUGACGGCGCGAGCAGGUGCGAAAGCAGGUCAUAGUGAUCCGGUGGUUCUGAAUGGAAGGGCCAUCGCUCAACGGAUAAAAGGUACUCCGGGGAUAACAGGCUGAUACCGCCCAAGAGUUCAUAUCGACGGCGGUGUUUGGCACCUCGAUGUCGGCUCAUCACAUCCUGGGGCUGAAGUAGGUCCCAAGGGUAUGGCUGUUCGCCAUUUAAAGUGGUACGCGAGCUGGGUUUAGAACGUCGUGAGACAGUUCGGUCCCUAUCUGCCGUGGGCGCUGGAGAAUUGAGGGGGGCUGCUCCUAGUACGAGAGGACCGGAGUGGACGCAUCACUGGUGUUCGGGUUGUCAUGCCAAUGGCACUGCCCGGUAGCUAAAUGCGGAAGAGAUAAGUGCUGAAAGCAUCUAAGCACGAAACUUGCCCCGAGAUGAGUUCUCCCUGAGACUUUAAGUCUCCUGAAGGAACGUUAAAGACGAUGACGUUGAUAGGCCGGGUGUGUAAGCGCAGCGAUGCGUUGAGCUAACCGGUACUAAUGAACCGUGAGGCUUAACCUU
RNAcentral lists this ribosomal RNA (2900 nucleotides) under Klebsiella pneumoniae. RNAcentral's name for it is "bacterial LSU rRNA". It matches the Rfam family "Bacterial large subunit ribosomal RNA". Lineage: Bacteria; Pseudomonadati; Pseudomonadota; Gammaproteobacteria; Enterobacterales; Enterobacteriaceae. The record is from RNAcentral.